This 27-nucleotide non-coding RNA is filed under the name Rattus norvegicus (Norway rat). The record is from RNAcentral. Lineage: Eukaryota; Metazoa; Chordata; Mammalia; Rodentia; Muridae.
GUAGCAUUCAAAGCUGAUAUUGGUCCC